This 255-nucleotide ribosomal RNA is filed under the name uncultured bacterium. RNAcentral's name for it is "partial 16S ribosomal RNA". It matches the Rfam family "Bacterial small subunit ribosomal RNA", at positions 524 to 776 of the family's 1533-position model. The record is from RNAcentral.
UACGUAGGGUGCAAGCGUUAAUCGGAAUUACUGGGCGUAAAGCGUGCGCAGGCGGUUGUGUAAGUCAGAUGUGAAAUCCCCGGGCUCAACCUGGGAAUGGCAUUUGAGACUGCACAGCUAGAGUGUGUCAGAGGGGGGGUAGAAUUCCACGUGUAGCAGUGAAAUGCGUAGAGAUGUGGAGGAAUACCGAUGGCGAAGGCAGCCCCCCUGGGAUAACACUGACGCUCAUGCACGAAAGCGUGGGGAGCAAACAGG